RNAcentral lists this ribosomal RNA (253 nucleotides) under uncultured bacterium. RNAcentral describes it as "partial 16S ribosomal RNA". It matches the Rfam family "Bacterial small subunit ribosomal RNA", at positions 524 to 776 of the family's 1533-position model. The record is from RNAcentral.
UACAGAGGGGGCAAGCGUUGUUCGGAAUUACUGGGCGUAAAGGGCGCGUAGGCGGCCUGUUAAGUCGAACGUGAAAUCCCUCGGCUCAACCGGGGAACUGCGUCUGAUACUGGGUGGCUUGAAUCCGGGAGAGGGAUGCGGAAUUCCAGGUGUAGCGGUGAAAUGCGUAGAUAUCUGGAGGAACACCGGUGGCGAAGGCGGCAUCCUGGACCGGCAUUGACGCUGAGGCGCGAAAGCCAGGGGAGCAAACGGG